Gossypium raimondii (Peruvian cotton) is the source of this 107-nucleotide non-coding RNA. The record is from Rfam. NCBI's taxonomy places the organism in Eukaryota, Viridiplantae, Streptophyta, Magnoliopsida, Malvales, Malvaceae.
AUUUCGUGAUGAGGGCACUUCCGUAACAAUUCUUUGUACCUUUCCCAUGCCUCAUACAAUGACUCAUCAUCCAAUUGUUGGAAAGUAGUGAUCUCGUUCCUCAACUU